CAAUUUUUAUUACCUGUUUAUUUUGCCCCGAUAUUUAUCAAUAAUGAUGAAUUUUGCAAGCAAUAACAUUAUUUCUUUUAUUGUUUUAGAUAUUUAUUGAAGCUGAAUACGCAAUUCAGUCAGAAUUGGAUUUUACAGUUAAGUGCAGUCCAUCAAGUUACUACAUAUUAUAGAUAUUUAUACAUAUCUGGUGGAGUUUCACAGUUGCUACUCUAAGCAGCAGAUGAAAGCAUACAAAAGCCUUCAGGCACAUAAAUAUUUUACAGCUGGAUUUGUUUUGAAUGGAGUAAAAAUUGUUAAUGAUUUCCUGAUUUCCAUAUUAUUGUUGGAAAGGUGAAGCAUUUCCAAAAAGCUAAUGCUAAACGACUAAAUGCUUGGGUGGGGUGAUAGCCAGUUCUGAUGACAUAGCAAAUGCACAUUGUAUGCAUAUGGCCGGUAAUAGUAAAGUAUGCCCAGGGCAAGACAGACGAAGAAGAACCCAAUGCAUGUACAUAUGUUACAGCUACAUGGUUUGGAGAUAGCAACAUAUGCAUUCUCUGAUGAAAAACUAAUGAGUUUUGAAACUGUUCGGUCAGAGUGCUUGUUGCGCUCACUAAACGAACUGAAAUAUGAGAUGGCUUUGGCAUUGUGUUGCAGCGAUAUGAAAAUGGUUAUUCAUUUUUAAUUAUAAUGUACUUCUUCAUCAUGAGUAAUUAUGUAUUGGUCUUUUAAAUGUGUAUUUAUUUUUGUAAUUAGUAUCAACUUGUAAUGAUAAUAUACAUUUAUCGUUUAA
Molecule: long non-coding RNA, 772 nt
Organism: Diabrotica virgifera virgifera (western corn rootworm)
Lineage: Eukaryota; Metazoa; Arthropoda; Insecta; Coleoptera; Chrysomelidae
Exons: 2
Source: RefSeq, a predicted model, not a curated record